UAAUCGGAAUUACUGGGCGUAAAGCGCGCGUAGGUGGUUUUUUAAGUUGGAUGUGAAAGCCCUGGGCUCAACCUAGGAACUGCAUCCAAAACUAGAUGACUAGAGUACGAAAGAGGGAAGUAGAAUUCACAGUGUAGCGGUGGAAUGCGUAGAUAUUGUGAAGAAUACCAAUGGCGAAGGCAGCUUCCUGGUUCUGUACUGACACUGAGGUGCGAAAGCGUGGGUAGCGAACAGGAUUAGAUACCCUGGUAGUCCACGCCGUAAACGAUGACAACUAGCUGUUGGGAGACAAGAUCUCUCAGUGGCGCAGCUAACGCUUUAAGUUGUCCGCCUGGGGAGUACGGCCGCAAGGUUAAAACUCAAAUGAAUUGACGGGGACCCGCACAAGCGGUGGAGCAUGUGGUUUAAUUCGAUGCAACGCGAAAAACCUUACCUACUCUUGACAUACUUGGAAGCUCUUGUAAUGAGAGUGUGCUUUUAGAGCCAAGAUACAGGUGCUGCAUGGCUGUCGUCAGCUCGUGUCGUGAGAUGUUGGGUUAAGUCCCAUAACGAGCGCAACCCUUACCCUUAUUUGCCAGCGGUUCGGCCGGGAACUAUAAGGGGACUGCCGGUGACAAACCGGAGGAAGGUGAGGACGACGUCAAGUCAUCAUGGCCCUUACGAGUAGGGCUACACACGUGCUACAAUGGGGAAUACAGACGGACGCUAAAGCGUGAGCUGGUGCCAAUCCUAAAAAAUUUCUCGUAGUCCGGAUUGCAGUCUGCAACUCGACUGCAUGAAGUCGGAAUCGCUAGUAAUCGCGAAUCAGCAUGUCGCGGUGAAUACGUUCUCGGGUCUUGUACACACCGCCCGUCACACCAUGGAAGUGUGUUGCACCAGAAGUAGGUAGUCUAACCUUCGGGAAGGCGCUUACCACGGUGUGAUCCAUGACUGGGGUGAAGUCAUAACAAGGUAGCCGUA
RNAcentral lists this ribosomal RNA (960 nucleotides) under uncultured bacterium. RNAcentral's name for it is "bacterial SSU rRNA". It matches the Rfam family "Bacterial small subunit ribosomal RNA", at positions 542 to 1504 of the family's 1533-position model. The record is from RNAcentral.